This 200-nucleotide unclassified non-coding RNA is filed under the name uncultured Russula. Its description in RNAcentral is "sequence contains ITS1". Lineage: Eukaryota; Fungi; Basidiomycota; Agaricomycetes; Russulales; Russulaceae. The record is from RNAcentral.
UCGUAUAACGGAGGUGCCGGGGCUGUCGCUAACUUUGUGCACGCCCUGGUGCUCUCUCACAAAAUCCAUCUCACCCCCUUUGUGCAUCACCACGUGGGUGCCCUCCCUUUGGUCCGUUCCGAAAGGGGGCAUUUGCGUUUUUAUACAAAACCACUGCAUGUGUAGAAUGUCUUACUAUUUGCGAUAACACGCAAUCAAUA